GACGAACGCUGGCGGUGUGCUUAACACAUGCAAGUCGAACGGUAAGGCCCUUUCUGGGGUACACGAGUGGCGAACGGGUGAGUAACACGUGAGUAACCUGCCCUCAUCUCUGGUAUAACAGUCGUCAACGGUUGCUAAUACUUGAUAUGAUCUUUCAAGUCAUCUUUUGGGUUGUAAAGAUUUUUUUGGUUGGGGAUGGUCUCGCGGCCUAUCAUCUUGUUGUUGUGGUAGUGGGUCAACAAGGCUUCGACGGGUAGCCGGCCUGAGAGGGCGACCGGCCACAUUGGGACUGAGAUACGGCCCAAACUCCUACGGGAGGCAGCAGUGGGGAAUAUUGCACAAUGGACGGAAGUCUGAUGCAGCAACGCCGCGUGCGGGAUGACGGCCUUCGGGUUGUAAAACGCUUUCAAUUGUGACGAAGCUUUUUGUGACGGUAGCAGUAGAAGAAGCACCGGCUAACUACGUG
Molecule: ribosomal RNA, 466 nt
Filed under: uncultured bacterium
Lineage: Bacteria
Description: partial 16S ribosomal RNA
Rfam family: Bacterial small subunit ribosomal RNA
Source: RNAcentral